AUCCAAACAUCAUGUGGCAUUUAAUUGCUGGAUCCAUUUGUCACCAACUGUUAUUAAUAGCUUCUUCCCGAUCUCAGCUACCGAUCGUAGUUUCAGUAAUUGAUCCUUUAUUACGCCAGUUAACCGCCACCUGCCAAAAUUUGACUCGCCUCCUGCGGCUCUAUAUUCGCCAAUGCUUCAUGCCGUCGACCACCCAAAGGAGAAUAAACGAAGCCCUAGAUUCCUCCAGUCUCUAAAUAAUCCUCGUUUGCUAGCCUUUCACUCUCUGUUUCUGGGAUGGAUUUUCAAUUGGCUACGAAGGGGUUUAAUUUCUCUCGGAGAAGGAGGAAAUGGCUGAUUUUAUUGGCCGUUUCUGGUGUCUCUGGUUAUGGACUUUACAAGGUGUAUAAUAUGCCCUCCGUUAUGAAGAAAAGGAGGAGAUUGAUGAAACUUAUGGAAGCCCUAAUUUAUAUUGCUCAAAUGGUGUCCAAUUCUGCUGAGAUAAUUGACAUUGUUUUCAUGGACUUGAAGGAGUUUCUGCGGUCCGAUUCGGACGAAAUUCCUAGUAGUUUCAAACAAAUUUCUAAAAUUGCUAAAUCGGAUGAGUUCUGCCAGUCGUUGACUAGGAUGUCUCAGGCUUUGACAGUUGGGAUUGUGAGGGGCUAUAAAUCUGAGUCGGCAAAUGAUGAUCGAUUAGCUUCAGGCUCAACGAAUUCCAGUUUCGCUGAUAAGGCGAUGGAUAGGUUGUUUUCUGAUGCUGGGACUGGGUUUGCUUCUCUUGUUGUUGGUAGUUUUGCCAGGAAUUUGGUUUUGGGGUUUUAUUCUAAUGUUGGAGCUGGUGUGGAUAAUUGUGGCUCGAGCAUAUCGGAUAUACCUGGAUGGGUAAGCGUGGUUUGUGAUGAUCGGUGCAAGGAACUUAUAGCUGAGUGCAUACAGAAGUUUGUGAGCACAGCAGUUGCUGUUUACCUUGACAAGACAAUGGACAUUAACACAUAUGAUGAAUUGUUCGCUGGCUUGACAAAUCCCAAGCAUCAAAACAAUGUGAGAGACAUUCUGGUUUCUCUCUGUAAUGGUGCUAUAGAGACGCUUGUUAAAACAUCUCACCAUGUCUUGACAAAUUCAAAUGCGAGUCUGAAUUCAGGUACCAAUUCUGGUUCCGAAUGUUCAAUUGUUGAUCACAGCAGCGAAGGACCAAGAGCAACCAGAUAUGAUUAUAUCAAGCAAGAGGUAUGUUUGAAAGACGGAUAUUCACCUAAGAAUGGUGGAUGGGUUGGGAAAGUCUCAUCUACUUUGGCUGUGCCAAGCAAUUGGAAGUUUGUGCUUGAUGUGAGUAGGAGAGUGACUUUUAGAACAGUAAAGUCUAUUCUGGAGUUCUUGUUGUGGAAGAUAUCAGAUUGUUUGAAGAGAAGUAUUAAUGUAAUUGAUGAAGAGGUUAUAGAUAGGGGUCUAAAGGUUAACCAUGCUAAGGAACUUGGUGGACAGGUCAUUAUAGUGAUCUGCCGUUUAAACAUGUCAACACACAGAACCAGAGUAUUUCACAAUUUGAGACAAGGCAGUUCUUCAAACAUGUGUUAAGGAUUAAAGCUGAACAAAUUUUGAGAUUUGAAAGUGUUGCUGAUUGUUCUACACAUGUGAAUUGGCAAAAGGUUGCAAAUGUGAGAACUGCAAAUUCAUUUUUAAGAGCAUUUGAAGCAAAGUUUGACCUGCAUGUAUCUUCCUGGAAAGCUGGAGUUAUCCGUCACAUGUAAAAGUGGCCUGCUAUAAUGUCUCUAAGGCACACGUCUGCUUUUGUUGAAUAUGAAGCAUAAAUUUGUGCGCGUGUUGCUCCAGGUUAGUAAAGAAUGCCUCAUAUUGCCAAAAUUAUCUUUAGUUAAUACUGAAUUACACAUCUUUUAGAGUCUGUUCAGCAUUGAGAUUGGGAAUCACAAAAGUGCUUUUUCCGAAGAACAUUAUUUUAAAUGACGUUAAACAACAAAUUAUGGUCUGAAUUGUGCUACAUGUCCAACAUGUCUAGCUAUAUGGUGAACAAGAGCUUGUGAACAUAUAUAAAUCAUGGCAUGGUUGGUUUGCUGUCAAUCUUAUUGGAAGAAGACUUUUUUUUUUAAUCAGUGAAUAUAUGCAUCUCAAAUAAGCAGUAAACUAAAAGUCAUUAUGGGAAGAUAUUUGAUGUAUUGAUUUAAGAGAUUAUCAAUGAUUACAAUAUUUCACAGAGAGAGAUUUGAACAGACAUGUGAAUAGUAGCAACUAAGAUUUUGAACGGGUGCUUGAAGGGCCCAAUGUGAGAGUAGCAGCAACAAGAAAGGGAAUACAGUCCUAGAACUUGCUUUAGCUUAAGAUCUAGUUUUAACAAACGGGUUCUAAAAGAUAAAAAAUAAAGGAAUGACAUUAAUGCCUUUAAGAGGAAUGAUUGAGUGAUAAGUUGAUCCGUAUAAGAAUUAGUUUUUUAACUAUUGAUCAUGUAUUCCAUGCAUAAUCAAUGAUAAGUAAAAAUAUUUUUCUUUUACUAAAUACAUGUAUUCCAUGCAUAAUCAAUGACUAGAAAUAUAGUGUUCAUAUGAGGCCUCACCCAAAAAGUUUUCGAAUAUUAAUCUCUUAUGCACCUUUUCCAUUCUUUAGAAACCUUCUGAUUUUGUAGUAUUUUUCUAAACUGUCUUUUCCUUGUUUCUCAAUGGAAGAAUCAAUUAAUCGUAGCAAAUUUGUUGAUCGAGAUGCAAAUAGAA
This is an RNA transcript of Manihot esculenta (cassava), 2699 nucleotides long. It is a transcript of the gene named protein PHLOEM PROTEIN 2-LIKE A10, with no coding region annotated. The transcript has 3 exons. Lineage: Eukaryota; Viridiplantae; Streptophyta; Magnoliopsida; Malpighiales; Euphorbiaceae. The record is from RefSeq and is a predicted model, not a curated record.